Molecule: ribosomal RNA, 253 nt
Filed under: uncultured bacterium
Lineage: Bacteria
Description: partial 16S ribosomal RNA
Rfam family: Bacterial small subunit ribosomal RNA
Source: RNAcentral
UACGGAGGGGGCUAGCGUUGUUCGGAAUUACUGGGCGUAAAGCGCGCGUAGGCGGCUUUGUAAGUUAGAGGUGAAAGCCCGGAGCUCAACUCCGGAAUUGCCUUUAAGACUGCAUCGCUAGAAUCAUGGAGAGGUGAGUGGAAUUCCGAGUGUAGAGGUGAAAUUCGUAGAUAUUCGGAAGAACACCAGUGGCGAAGGCGGCUCACUGGCCCGAUACUGACGCUGAGGCACGAAAGCGUGGGGAGCAAACAGG